Long non-coding RNA from Daphnia carinata, 981 nucleotides. RefSeq lists it as uncharacterized. The transcript is spliced from 3 exons. Lineage: Eukaryota; Metazoa; Arthropoda; Branchiopoda; Diplostraca; Daphniidae. The record is from RefSeq and is a predicted model, not a curated record.
AGGGUCUUCAUGAUGAGUCCGUACAAAGUUGUCGGUAAAAUGGGUUCUGUUUGUUGAUGUUUAUAUACCCAAGCCCAUUGGUAGUUUCGAUACAACGGCGUUGCACAAGAAAGGAAGAGUAAUGGGGCUAACUGAAGUGCUAUUGGUUGAUCAGUUGACAGGUAGGUAAAGCUACGUUACGCCUUUCCAAGGUUAUGUAAAGGAGAUGCAGUUUCCGUCGUCAAGGGCAGCGAUCCUUCUGGUUCGAGAACAGAUGAAUUGAAGAAGAAUACUGAUCAAAAAGGCUGAAGAACUUGCUGAGUUAACGUUUGAUAACCAAAAGUCUACAAAAGUUUAAUAAGGACCCCAUGGGCGGUAAGGGGUGUAUGGACCCCAGGGCCUUCCGUACGGGCCCCAAGGACGGCCGUAUGGGCCCCAUGGACGACCGCCGUAGUAUCCUCCGUAUGGACGUCCACCCAAGGCAAUGGUAAGGCGCUGUUGUUCGAUUUGCUGAUCCGGAGUAAAUGGAGGAAUGAUAACGGGUGCUGGAUUGCGUAAGACUGUUGGAAUGGCAGUUUCAUCAGACAUUACGUUGCGAGUAUCUGACGUAUCGUCGUCAACCAGGACCAUUCCAUUGACCAUUCCAACUGGAACUGCAUGUCGGCUCUCUCGAACAGCAGGAUUUGCUGAGACGGCACCAAAGAAAACGACGAGGCAGGCAAUCUUUAAUAACAACAAUUAAAGUUAAGGUCUAGGCUUUUAAGAGUUUACUUAUCAAUAACGAACUUACGAAAGUGAGUUUGUUCAUUGUGAAUGUUGACAGAGCGAACGUUGCCAAAGUAAUGCUGAUGCCAAUGUUCAGUUGGGGUUUAUAUACGAAAACUUGCAGGCACUUUGGUUACGCUUAAAGUUAGUGGUGUAACGUCAAUUUCACUGCCAUUGGUUAUUUCUGCACAGGUAGGAAGGGAUGUUUCUGACCUGCAGCAACAAAAACUUGCCAAA